GACGAACGCUGGCGGCGUGCUUAACACAUGCAAGUCGAACGGAAAGGCCCAGCUUGCUGGGUGCUCGAGUGGCGAACGGGUGAGUAACACGUGGGUGAUCUGCCUCUAACUUCGGGAUAAGCUUGGGAAACUGGGUCUAAUACCGGAUAGGACAAUCGUUUAGUGUCGGUUGUGGAAAGUUUUUUCGGUUAGGGAUGAGCCCGCGGCCUAUCAGCUUGUUGGUGGGGUAAUGGCCUACCAAGGCGUCGACGGGUAGCCGGUCUGAGAGGGUGGACGGCCACAUUGGGACUGAGAUACGGCCCAGACUCCUACGGGAGGCAGCAGUGGGGAAUAUUGCACAAUGGGCGCAAGCCUGAUGCAGCGACGCCGCGUGGGGGAUGACGGCCUUCGGGUUGUAAACCUCUUUCGACAGGGACGAAGCUUUGGUGACGGUACCUGUAUAAGAAGCACCGGCUAACUACGUG
Molecule: ribosomal RNA, 464 nt
Filed under: uncultured bacterium
Lineage: Bacteria
Description: partial 16S ribosomal RNA
Rfam family: Bacterial small subunit ribosomal RNA
Source: RNAcentral